Molecule: small nuclear RNA, 103 nt
Organism: Stegostoma tigrinum
Lineage: Eukaryota; Metazoa; Chordata; Chondrichthyes; Orectolobiformes; Stegostomatidae
Source: RefSeq, a predicted model, not a curated record
UUGCUUUGUCAGCACAUAAACUAAAAUUGGAACGAUACAGAGAAGAUUAGCAUGGCCCCUGCACAUGGAUGACAUGUUAAUUUGUGAAGUGUUCCAUAUUUUU